Molecule: non-coding RNA, 72 nt
Organism: Elusimicrobia bacterium GWA2_62_23
Lineage: Bacteria; Pseudomonadati; Elusimicrobiota
Source: Rfam
GGGCCAUUAGCUCAACGGUAGAGCAGACGCCUCUUAAGCGUAAGGUUACAGGUUCGAAUCCCGUAUGGCCCA